GACGCUGGCGGCGUGCAUAACACAUUCAAGUCGAACGGUGACGGGGCUUCGGCCCCUGAUCAGUGGCGGACGGGUGAGUAACGCGUGAGCAAUCUGCCUCUGUGUGCGGGAUAACAGCCGGAAACAGCUGCUAAUACCGCAUAACGUAUACGGGUCGCAUGUCCUGUAUACCAAAGGUUUACUGCACAGAGAUGAGCUUGCGUCUGAUUAGAUAGUUGGUGAGGUAACGGCUCACCAAGUCGACGAUCAGUAGCCGGACUGAGAGGUUGAACGGCCACAUUGGAACUGAGAAACGGUCCAGACUCCUACGGGAGGCAGCAGUGGGGAAUAUUGGGCAAUGGGCGAAAGCCUGACCCAGCGACGCCGCGUGAGGGAAGAAGGUCUUCGGAUUGUAAACCUUUGUCAACAGGGACGAACAGAUGACGGUACCUGUGGAGGAAGCCACGGCUAACUACGUG
This 458-nucleotide ribosomal RNA is filed under the name uncultured bacterium. RNAcentral describes it as "bacterial SSU rRNA". It matches the Rfam family "Bacterial small subunit ribosomal RNA", at positions 33 to 507 of the family's 1533-position model. The record is from RNAcentral.